Molecule: long non-coding RNA, 2655 nt
Organism: Balaenoptera musculus (blue whale)
Lineage: Eukaryota; Metazoa; Chordata; Mammalia; Artiodactyla; Balaenopteridae
Exons: 4
Source: RefSeq, a predicted model, not a curated record
GUCCCAAGGGCAGCAGGAAAGGUUUUUCUGGGGCUUCCCAUGGCCUGAUUAGCCUAAGGGUGACUGACUCUGCUUUGUGUUCUAAAUGCCAUUCCCAUGAGGCACAGGGAAGAGGCUCUGUAAUUACCAAGUCUGUAGCAAUACUGGAUUCUCCCGGUAACUUGGAACCUUUAUAAAGGGCAAAGCCCAGCCUCCUCUCCAGUGUCAGCUGCUGUAAAGCUCCCCAGACGCCAGCAUGAGGCUCCAUUACCUCCUCGCGACCCUCUUCGUGCUCCUCCUGUUGCCUGUGUCGGGUUUUACUCAAUUAACAAGAAGUCGUCACAGCUGCCAUUGGAAUGGAGGUGUCUGUACACUGUUCCAGUGCCCUCCAAAUAUGAGACAGGUCAGCACCUGUUUCUGGCACUGGGUAAAAUGCUGCAAGAGGAGAUAAUAAGAAGGCGAAGAAACGGCUGUGACAGAAGUGGUCAGAAACUGCGCCCUUCAAAAAAUCAUAUAAAAUUUAAACCAGAUUCAACUUCUAUGUUCAAAGGCAAAGACUCUAGGCCUCUGGCCAGUGCGGUUGUUGUGUGGUGUGUGAUUACAGGCGACCACCGAAACCCUUGAGGGCGCUCUCCUAAGCUCCCCGUACUAACCAUCUGGGACACCACAGUGGCAUGCUCCUGUUCCUUGGGGCCACCUGACCUUCCCCAGCCCCCCUUUGUGCUGUCCAAUGAUGUGUGCUUUGUCCUUCCUGCUUCCCGCCCCAGGGUGCCCCUACCUAACCCACAUCACCCCUCAAGCACACACCCCGUUGGUCCAGUCCCACCAGAUCACCACCUCCCUCGGGAAACCACAACCGACCUGCCCAGGGGGAAACCCCUCUCUCCUCUGUUUUCCCCAAGUCCCCACUGCCUUUUGGUUUACGCUUCUUACUUAUAUGCCUUGUGCACAUGUGGAUAAACUUCUAAUUCUCUCCUGGGCUAUGAGAUCUCUACGGGCGUGGACUUUGUCCUGUGCACGUAUGUGCUGGUCACUGAGGGGAGACAUUGCUUCAUAAACUAUUAUCAAUUGAAUGACAAAGCUGACUUGGACAAAGCAUGUCUCUCCAUGUGGACAUGAUGCAAUGCAAGUAAAUGCUGUGGAAAAACAAGUCCUUACGGAAAGCACAAUUCAAUGAAGGCAAUAUACCGCGGAACACAGGAAGAAGGGACUGAACACCAAAAGAAAGAGACCGUAGACAGCAAGGGGAAGGAUGAGGAUGCUGACCUCACCCUGCUCUCAAUUCCUCCGGAGGGUUUGGUGGUUAAAUCAAGAACCCUGCUGAUUUAUCCUGCAUGUGUGAGCAGCUCUCUGGCUCUUUACACUAACUUUUCACUCAAUGCAAGUUGAGGUCACCAAUGUGAUGGUGUUAGGAGAUGGUGCCUUUGGGAGGUCAUUAGGUCAUGAGGGUGGAGCCCUCAUGGGUGGUAUGAGUAUCCUUAUGAAAAAGACUCCAGAGAGAUCUCUUGCCCCUUCUGCCAUGCGAGGACACAGGGAGAAGGCAGCCGUCCACCAGACACCUGCUCUGUCUUGAUCAUGGACUUCUCAGCCUCCCAAACUGUGAGAAGUAAAUGUCUGUUGUUUAUAAGCCACCCAGCCUGUGGUGUUUUUGUUUUAGUAGCCCAAAUGGACAGACACAUGACAAAUGAGAAUUAAAGUUACAGAUGGAAUUAAGGUACCUAAUCAGUUGGCCUUAAAAUAGGGAGAUUAUGUUGGAUUACCUGGAUGUGCUCAUUGUCAUUUCAUUACAAGGAAGCUUAGAUGUGGAAGAGGGAGGUAGGUCAGUGUCAGAGAGAUGCAACAUGAGACACACUAAACCAGCCAUUGUUGGCUUUGCCAAUGGAGGAGGGGCCACAAGCCAAGGAAUGUGGGCAGCUUUAAAGCUUGAAAAGGAAGGGAAAGAUUCUCCCUUAGAGCCUCCAGAAGGAACACGGUCCUGGUGACACCUUGAUUUUAACCCAGUGAGACCCAUUUGGGACUGUUGAUCCUCAGAACUGCAAGGUAAUAAAUAUGUGUUGCUUUAAGCCACUUAACUUGUGGCAAUUUGUUACAGUAGCUACAGGAAACUAAUAUACCAGUAGUUUAAAAUCAUGCAUUGAGCAUAAAAUGAGCAGCUCAAAAGAUCCAAACCUGCGUUUGUUUCAUGGAGGAAAAAAAUGAUAAAAACUGUCAACGUUUUACCCAACUUUAUAUUUUUUUCACAGAAAUGCCCAUGAUUCAUACGCCAACUUCCCCUCCCACACACAUGUGCCAUGAGAGCCCUGAGGCACUGUGUAAGAAGCCCGCCUUGCAUUGAAGUCACUGCUUGAGAGACCACGAGGAGAGAUCACCUGGAGAAACAAAGAUGCCCAAGAUGAUGUUCCGGUCCCCAGCUAGGUGCCAUCCCGGCCCAGGUGCCGGGUGUGUGCAUGAGCCUUGAGAUAAUUCCAGCCCCAUCCAACUGCCAACCCAUGAGCAUCUGACAGCUCCAGACACCUAGCUGAGUCCAAUUUAUCCCCAGAAUGUUUUUCAGCAAAACCCUUUGGAAGGCGUGUCUGCAGACCCCACUUCCUCUCAUCCCUCUCAGGGGGGUUUCAUACCACUCCACCACUCCACCAAGAUGACUCCUGUCAACAGGGGAUCAUAAUACAUCCUUUA